AGGUAGAUGGCGAAAUAGGUAGACGCGCUACACUCAAAAUGUAGUGAUUUAUCGUGAGGGUUCGAGUCCCUUUCUACCUA
RNAcentral lists this transfer RNA (80 nucleotides) under Bulboplastis apyrenoidosa. Its description in RNAcentral is "tRNA-Leu". It matches the Rfam family "tRNA". Rfam says of the family: Transfer RNA (tRNA) molecules are approximately 80 nucleotides in length. Their secondary structure includes four short double-helical elements and three loops (D, anti-codon, and T loops). The record is from RNAcentral. Lineage: Eukaryota; Rhodophyta; Rhodellophyceae; Dixoniellales; Dixoniellaceae.